UUUCCGUAGGUGAACCUGCGGAAGGAUCAUUAUUGAAUGAAACACUUCUGGCUUUAUGCUGUUGUGCUGGCCCUUUAGGCAAUGUGCACACGGUUCUGGUCACUUGUUUCUUCUGUUCCACCUGUGCACUGCCUGUAGACACGCUGUGUCUAUGAUAUUUGUUAACACACAACAAUGUUAGUUGGCAUGUUAUAUAUAAUAAUAAAAUAUACAACUUUCAACAACGGAUCUCUUGGCUCUC
Molecule: unclassified non-coding RNA, 241 nt
Filed under: plant metagenome
Description: partial contains small subunit ribosomal RNA, internal transcribed spacer 1, and 5.8S ribosomal RNA
Source: RNAcentral